GCCAUGCAUGUCUCAGUGCAGCCGUACGCGUUCGCGCGUCUAGGUGAAACCGCGAAAGGCUCAUUAAAUCAGUUAUGGUUCCUUGGAUCGUACCAUUCAGUUACUUGGAUAACUGUGGUAAUUCUAGAGCUAAUACAUGCCGACAGAGUUCCGACCGCCUCGUGCGGGAGGAACGCUUUUAUUAGAUCAAAACCCAUCGGUACGGGCUUCGGCCCAUACCGACAACACUCGGUCCGUUCGCGGGCCGACCAAGUGGUGACUCUGAAUAACUUUGUGCUGAUCGCACGGUCUCAGUGCUGGCGAUGCAUCUUUCAAAUGUCUGCCUUAUCAACUGUCGAUGGUAGGUUAUGCGCCUACCAUGGUGGUAACGGGUGACGGGGGAUUAGGGUUCGAUCCCGGAGAGGGAGCCUGAGAAACGGCUACCACAUCCAAGGAAGGCAGCAGGCACGCAAAUUACCCACUCCCAGCUCAGGGGAGGUAGUGACGAAAUAUAACGAUACGGGACUCAUCCGAGGCCUCGUAAUCGGAAUGAGUACACUUUAAAACGUUUAACGAGGAUCCAUUGGAGGGCA
RNAcentral lists this ribosomal RNA (572 nucleotides) under Bactericera cockerelli (potato/tomato psyllid). RNAcentral describes it as "SSU rRNA". It matches the Rfam family "Eukaryotic small subunit ribosomal RNA", at positions 48 to 557 of the family's 1831-position model. The record is from RNAcentral. Lineage: Eukaryota; Metazoa; Arthropoda; Insecta; Hemiptera; Triozidae.